RNAcentral lists this ribosomal RNA (440 nucleotides) under Fusarium solani. RNAcentral describes it as "partial 28S ribosomal RNA". It matches the Rfam family "Eukaryotic large subunit ribosomal RNA", at positions 137 to 585 of the family's 3401-position model. The record is from RNAcentral. Lineage: Eukaryota; Fungi; Ascomycota; Sordariomycetes; Hypocreales; Nectriaceae.
CCCGAGUUGUAAUUUGUAGAGGAUGCUUUUGGUGAGGUGCCUUCCGAGUUCCCUGGAACGGGACGCCAUAGAGGGUGAGAGCCCCGUCUGGUUGGACACCGAUCCUCUGUAAAGCUCCUUCGACGAGUCGAGUAGUUUGGGAAUGCUGCUCUAAAUGGGAGGUAUAUGUCUUCUAAAGCUAAAUACCGGCCAGAGACCGAUAGCGCACAAGUAGAGUGAUCGAAAGAUGAAAAGAACUUUGAAAAGAGAGUUAAACAGUACGUGAAAUUGUUGAAAGGGAAGCGCUUGUGACCAGACUUGGGCUUGGUUGAUCAUCCGGGGUUCUCCCCGGUGCACUCUUCCGGCUCAGGCCAGCAUCAGUUCGCCCUGGGGGAUAAAGGCUUCGGGAAUGUGGCUCUCUCCGGGGAGUGUUAUAGCCCGCUGCGUAAUACCCUGUGGCG